GUCAGGAUGGCCGAGUGGUCUAAGGCGGUACGUUCAGGUCGUAUUCUCAUUGAGGCACGGGUUCGAAUCCCGUUUCUGACA
The sequence is a transfer RNA, 81 nucleotides long. It matches the Rfam family "tRNA". Rfam says of the family: Transfer RNA (tRNA) molecules are approximately 80 nucleotides in length. Their secondary structure includes four short double-helical elements and three loops (D, anti-codon, and T loops). The record is from Rfam.